Molecule: transfer RNA, 90 nt
Filed under: bacterium (Candidatus Gribaldobacteria) CG08_land_8_20_14_0_20_39_15
Lineage: Bacteria; Candidatus Gribaldobacteria
Description: tRNA-Ser
Rfam family: tRNA
About the family: Transfer RNA (tRNA) molecules are approximately 80 nucleotides in length. Their secondary structure includes four short double-helical elements and three loops (D, anti-codon, and T loops).
Source: RNAcentral
GGCGGGAUGUCAGAGCGGCCGAAUGAGAUGGUUUCGAAAACCAUUAUGCUCGCAAGGGCAUCGGAGGUUCGAAUCCUCCUCCCGCCGCCA